GACAGAGGAUGCAAGCGUUAUCCGGAAUGAUUGGGCGUAAAGCGUCUGUAGGUGGCUUUUCAAGUCCGCCGUCAAAUCCCAGGGCUCAACCCUGGACAGGCGGUGGAAACUACCAAGCUGGAGUAUGGUAGGGGCAGAGGGAAUUUCCGGUGGAGUGGUGAAAUGCAUUGAGAUCAGAAAGAACACCAACGGCGAAAGCACUCUGCUGGGCCGACACUGACACUGAGAGACGAAAGCUAGGGGAGCAAAUGGG
This 253-nucleotide ribosomal RNA is filed under the name uncultured bacterium. Its description in RNAcentral is "partial 16S ribosomal RNA". It matches the Rfam family "Bacterial small subunit ribosomal RNA", at positions 524 to 776 of the family's 1533-position model. The record is from RNAcentral.